GACGAACGCUGGCGGUGUGCUUAACACAUGCAAGUCGUACGGCAAGGCCCUGCUUUUGUGGGGUGCUCGAGUCGCGAACGUGUGUGUAACAUGUGUGUUAUCUGCCCUUGACUUUGGGAUAACUUCAAGAAACUGGGGCUUAUACGGUAUAGGAGCUCCUGCUGCAUGGUUUGGGUUGGAAAGUUUCGGAGGUUGGGGUUGGACUCGCGGCUUAUCAGCUUGCUGGUUUGGUAGUGGCAUAGCAAGGCUUUGACUGGUAGCCGACCUGGGAGGUUGACCGGGCACAUUGGGACUGAGGUACGUCCCAGAGUCCUACGGGACGCAAGGGUGGAGAACAUUGCACAAUGGGCGGAAGCCUGAUGAAGCAGCGCCACGUGCGGGAUGACGGCCUUCAGGGUGUAAACCGCUUUCGCCGGUUACGAGACGUGAGUGACGGUAAUGGGUAAAGAAGCACCGGCUAACUACGUG
This 468-nucleotide ribosomal RNA is filed under the name uncultured bacterium. Its description in RNAcentral is "partial 16S ribosomal RNA". It matches the Rfam family "Bacterial small subunit ribosomal RNA", at positions 28 to 507 of the family's 1533-position model. The record is from RNAcentral.